GGGCGGGCGGGCGCGCGCUGAACAACAAAAACAAGAUAAGCUAACCAGCUUAAUGCGCGCAAUAAAUGACGGCCCUGAGGACACGGGCCGUUGCGAAACAGUUAGUCUAACAGUUACGCAUUGGGCCUUACGCCCAACUAACCCAGCUUACUUAACGCAAGCUCGCAUUAGUUGUUGCUCCAUAGGUAAAUGCCAAAGGAGAAGAUACCCCCUCUAGCGGAAAUAACAAACAAACAAACUGAGCACCAAAACGGCGCAACGCGACGGGCCGCUAGAGGGACAAAGGACGCGAGAGCUGCCAGACAGGCACACACACCGACACGAAAUAAAGCUCCCCAAGCAAAACGCCUCAACGACCUCCAAACGAUACUCCAGCAGCAAGGACGGCGUACACGCCAUCUCUACAUAGGCAAAAGAGCGAACAAACAGAACGCUGCCAAAACCACAAGGACGAGGUCAAACCAGUGCUCUCCAUCCGCGCACAGACUGACCCACCGGCCACAAACGCGACGGAUCCCUCAACAAACGCUGACGGACGCCCACUGAAGGAAUGGACGAUAGACACGCGAGAAUGCCAAACAUGUGCCCGCUAAGGGUUGACUAAACGGCCAACUAGGGCUUGAACUGAACACCGGCUCUGCAAUAACGACCGCUCCACGCGCCCAGGGCACUGACAGCAGGGAUACGGAUGACGAAACCCAGCACGACAAACAGCAAGGUCGGGCCACCUCCGAACCAACAGGUACAACGGCCAACUGUUCAAAUCUUCCACACAGCACCUGCAAUAAAGGCCAACACAAAGAGAGUCUGACAGAGCCACGGAGUGCUGCAAAUGCAACCAACUACUGUAAAAAACGCCGCCAGCAGGGGCUGCCUCCAGCACAGGGCGCUCUUGGUUAACCGAGCAAGACAUACACGGAGCUCACGGAGUUCACGGAGCUCAUGGCACUGAAAAUAAGGCUGAGCAGCACGGGCUUGGAUAAAGCUCUUGGCAGCUAGGAACUGACCCCACAGGAGCCCGACAUAAACGGAGUCAGAAAGAGCCCCAGCCUNNNNNNNNNNNNNNNNNNNNNNNNNNNNNNNNNNNNNNNNNNNNNNNNNNAUUCAGGACGAUGGAACACGACAACCGCCGCCCCCGUUCAUAAUUGACGAAGAGCCAUAUUACAUGGUUGAGGCACUACUUGACCAUCGUGAUGUGAAAAUCCGAGGUGGAACCGGCAAAACACGUCGAGAAUAUCUGGUUAAAUGGGAAGGCUAUGACUCCAGUCAUAACACCUAUGAACCGGAAGAUUCCCUGCGUCAAUCCGUUCCCUUGGCCGAAGCUAUUGACGACUAUGAACGACGGUUGGCGGCAAAGUCCGGGCAACCUACACCAAAAAGGAAAGUGGUCCUGACCACCCCUCCUUCGGUAGCACCCCGGAACAGCACCCCAGAACAACCGAAACGGAAAGCACCUGCUCGCAAGAAAAGGUGACGCUCCCGGGACGGUUCGCUUCUGAGGGGGAGGGAUGUAGCAAGCUACAUUUACCUUAGAAUAUCUUUAAGCUAUUAAAGCUUAAUCACAGUAACGGUACGGUCCCGUAUUUACGAACCAUACUCGUUAACUGUACGAACUCACUUUCUGGUACGCUAUCACAACCUAGCGUACGGCACCAAGACUCCAGGAAUGGAGAUGGCGGCAGGUGGGCCGCAUUUAAGCCACCCAGGUGAAGUGCUUCGGCCAGACACUUAACGUAUCACUAUACUAGUGUUCAGGGUUCAAGACCUUGCUGUCACCGUUCUCGACGUAUGUCUUCGAAUCCCGACUUCCCUUGUCUCUUCUCACGCCUAACGCUGGGUCGCCAAUCGUGGACGAGACCCUCUACUUCCGCUAAAACAGCUAAGGUAAGAGACGGCUGUUACACAACCGCGCACAGACUGACCCACCGGCCACAAAUGCGACGGAUCCCUCAACAAACGCUGACGGACGCCCACUGAAGGAAUGGACGAUAGACACGCGAGAAUGCCAAACAUGUGCCCGCUAAGGGUUGACUAAACGGCCAACUAGGGCUUGAACUGAACACCGGCUCUGCAAUAACGACCGCUCCACGCGCCCAGGGCACUGACAGCAGGGAUACGGAUGACGAAACCCAGCACGACAAACAGCAAGGUCGGGCCACCUCCGAACCAACAGGUACAACGGCCAACUGUUCAAAUCUUCCACACAGCACCUGCAAUAAAGGCCAACACAAAGAGAGUCUGACAGAGCCACGGAGUGCUGCAAAUGCAACCAACUACUGUAAAAAACGCCGCCAGCAGGGGCUGCCUCCAGCACAGGGCGCUCUUGGUUAACCGAGCAAGACAUACACGGAGCUCACGGAGUUCACGGAGCUCAUGGCACUGAAAAUAAGGCUGAGCAGCACGGGCUUGGAUAAAGCUCUUGGCAGCUAGGAACUGACCCCACAGGAGCCCGACAUAAACGGAGUCAGAAAGAGCCCCAGCCUACCGCGACACAGAAAACGCACAAACACAGCGAUGCAAAACUGCCAGGUCUUAGCACCAACCCUGGGACAAGGUAACCUGGCAACCGGCAAAGACAUGCGGAAUGGACCAACCCUAGGCCGGCGAGCGACAGCUGCGAUACCAACAGGUUAUCAAAGACCGGGGAUGUCGCAACGGACUGCAGAUCCAGCGAGAAACCGGGACCUAUUCCGCGCCAAAGGUACUACUCGAAUGUAGUCCCAAAUCCAGCGGGGUUGGAACCAGCGGUACCACCGGAUACCAAGCAAGUGAAACCGCUCCGAAAUCACGAGAAACCAAACGCAGGUUAACACCAAGCGACGAAAAACCAACUACCUGCGCGGUGCCUAAGGAGCGCACACACGACAAAUCCCUACCUAUUCGCUCCACAUAACUGCAUAACUGCUCCCCUGGCGCAAAGCAACUACGGCGUUCCCUCAAAGAUGGUCCCAUAACAAAUAACGCGGCCCACGGGGAAGGGUGAAAUGCUAGGAAAGCGCUCCCAGCGGGGCACACACGCGAACCGAACUUGCAGCGCCUCACGGAACGACCGAGUGCUAAGCAAAGCGCCCACAUGAAGAUUGCACCCGCACUGCUACGACCUGCCAGGAAGGGGGUGGUAGAUAGGUGCUCGACCCACCCUCGCCCGGCGCAAACAGCUCCGUAUUCGACGGCAGGAACACAAGGUCAACCGCCAACUCCAUCAAUUGUUGCCACCAAGGUUGGGCCGUCCAGUACGGCACGACUAGGGUGAGGCACGCUCCCUCCUCGCGCACUUUCUGCACCACAGCGAGCAAGAAGUCGGGGUCCAAGGGUGGGCAGCCAUAUGCAUUAAGCCCUGCCCAAGAUUGCAAGAGAGCAUUGACCCCCGACGAACCCGGACAAUGGUGGCGAGAAAAGAAAACCGGGAGGUGCGUGUUAAUAUGCGUGGCAAACAAGUCGACAUGGUGCGGACCGAAGCGGUGCUCCAAAAGGCGGAAAAACCGGGGAUGCAAGCGGUAAUCAUCACGGUCUACCCAACGCGAGGCUUCAUCUGCCUCGUUGUCAGCACUAGCCACACGCUCGACUUGUAGAACAAUACUAUGCUUCUGCAUGAAUUCCCAUAAUAAUUUUAGUUCGGCAUGCAGAGCUGCCGAGCGCGAAGAAAGACGCCCUAGCACUGCUUGCGUGCACGUGUUGUCCUCCCUAAUUAACACAACACGCUGCUGAACGAACGGGAGGAAGGNN
Molecule: long non-coding RNA, 3726 nt
Filed under: Volvox carteri
Lineage: Eukaryota; Viridiplantae; Chlorophyta; Chlorophyceae; Chlamydomonadales; Volvocaceae
Description: long non-coding RNA (VCAR_LNC001282)
Source: RNAcentral